UACGUAGGGUGCAAGCGUUGUCCGGAAUUAUUGGGCGUAAAGAGCUCGUAGGCGGUCUGUCACGUCUGCUGUGAAAACUCGGGGCUUAACCCCGGGCCUGCAGUGGGUACGGGCAGACUAGAGUGCGGUAGGGGAGACUGGAAUUCCUGGUGUAGCGGUGAAAUGCGCAGAUAUCAGGAGGAACACCGGUGGCGAAGGCGGGUCUCUGGGCCGUAACUGACGCUGAGGAGCGAAAGCGUGGGGAGCGAACAGG
RNAcentral lists this ribosomal RNA (253 nucleotides) under uncultured bacterium. RNAcentral describes it as "partial 16S ribosomal RNA". It matches the Rfam family "Bacterial small subunit ribosomal RNA", at positions 524 to 776 of the family's 1533-position model. The record is from RNAcentral.